GCCUCUAUAGCUUAGUGGGAAGGCACCGCUUUGUUGCGGGGACCACAGUUCGAUUCUGUGUGGAGGCA
This 68-nucleotide transfer RNA is filed under the name Parascardovia denticolens IPLA 20019. Its description in RNAcentral is "tRNA-OTHER". It matches the Rfam family "tRNA". From Rfam's summary of the family: Transfer RNA (tRNA) molecules are approximately 80 nucleotides in length. Their secondary structure includes four short double-helical elements and three loops (D, anti-codon, and T loops). Further hydrogen bonds mediate the characteristic L-shaped molecular structure. tRNAs have two regions of fundamental functional importance: the anti-codon, which is responsible for specific mRNA codon recognition, and the 3' end, to which the tRNAs corresponding amino acid is attached (by aminoacyl-tRNA synthetases). tRNAs cope with the degeneracy of the genetic code in two manners: having more than one tRNA (with a specific anti-codon) for a particular amino acid; and 'wobble' base-pairing, i.e. permitting non-standard base-pairing at the 3rd anti-codon position. The record is from RNAcentral. Lineage: Bacteria; Bacillati; Actinomycetota; Actinomycetes; Bifidobacteriales; Bifidobacteriaceae.